GACGAACGCUGGCGGCGUGCUUAACACAUGCAAGUCGAACGGAAAGGCCCUGCUUUUGUGGGGUGCUCGAGUGGCGAACGGGUGAGUAACACGUGAGUAACCUGCCCUUGACUUUGGGAUAACUUCAGGAAACUGGGGCUAAUACCGGAUAGGAGCUCCUGCUGCAUGGUGGGGGUUGGAAAGUUUCGGCGGUUGGGGAUGGACUCGCGGCUUAUCAGCUUGUUGGUGGGGUAGUGGCUUACCAAGGCUUUGACGGGUAGCCCGCCUGAGAGGGUGACCGGCCACAUUGGGACUGAGAUACGGCCCAGAAUCCUACGGGAGGCAGCAGUGGGGAAUCUUGCACAAUGGGCGGAAGCCUGAUGCAGCAACGCCGCGUGCGGGAUGACGGCCUUCGGGUUGUAAACCGCUUUCGCCUGUGACGAAGCGUGAGUGACGGUAAUGGGUAAAGAAGCACCGGCUAACUACGUG
This 468-nucleotide ribosomal RNA is filed under the name uncultured bacterium. RNAcentral describes it as "partial 16S ribosomal RNA". It matches the Rfam family "Bacterial small subunit ribosomal RNA", at positions 28 to 507 of the family's 1533-position model. The record is from RNAcentral.